AUGAGGAAGCCGAUGAUGAUGAAGAAGAAGAAGAAGAAGUUGGUGAAGAGAUUUUUUUGGGUAGUGAAAGGAAAGCUCUGAUCUUUAAAGAAGAUGGAGGUGAUGCAACACGAUCGUAUUCCUCGAUGAGAUUUGCCAGAUCCUCAUCGGAGGUGAUCGAAACCAAAGCGUCAAGAUCCUCUGUUGGCAAUUGACAUCGCAGACUCACACUCACUGUUGCCCCACACAUCUCCCCAAGCUUCAACAACAGCUCUGUAACACCAUCACAAUCAUUUCACCCCAUAUCAUUACUAUGUACGUACUCAUUAUAUACAUACCUACAUAUAUACAUACAUGCAUGGGAUUGUUUCUUCAAACCUACCUAAAUAAUUAAUACUACGAGCUCUUUCUUUAAACAUCACAAGCAUAAAGAUCAAAAUGAUGACAACAAUGGGAAAAU
RNAcentral lists this long non-coding RNA (439 nucleotides) under Citrus maxima (pomelo). RNAcentral's name for it is "long non-coding RNA (CMAX_LNC003210)". The record is from RNAcentral. Lineage: Eukaryota; Viridiplantae; Streptophyta; Magnoliopsida; Sapindales; Rutaceae.